GACGUAGGGCGCGAGCGUUGUCCGGAUUUAUUGGGCGUAAAGAGCUCGUAGGCGGCUUGUUGCGUCGACUGUGAAAACCCGCGGCUUAACUGCGGGCUUGCAGUUGAUACGGUGUGGCUAGAGUUCGGGAGAGGAGAGUGGAAUUCCCAGUGUAGAGGUGAAAUUCGUAGAUAUUGGGAAGAACACCGGUGGCGAAGGCGGCUCUCUGGACCGAUACUGACGCUGAGGCGCGAAAGCGUGGGGAGCAAACAGG
Molecule: ribosomal RNA, 253 nt
Filed under: uncultured bacterium
Lineage: Bacteria
Description: partial 16S ribosomal RNA
Rfam family: Bacterial small subunit ribosomal RNA
Source: RNAcentral